RNAcentral lists this ribosomal RNA (506 nucleotides) under uncultured bacterium. Its description in RNAcentral is "partial 16S ribosomal RNA". It matches the Rfam family "Bacterial small subunit ribosomal RNA", at positions 29 to 523 of the family's 1533-position model. The record is from RNAcentral.
AGUGAACGCUGGCGGUAGGCCUAACACAUGCAAGUCGAACGGCAGCACAGGAGAGCUUGCUCUCUGGGUGGCGAGUGGCGGACGGGUGAGGAAUACAUCGGAAUCUACUCUGUCGUGGGGGAUAACGUAGGGAAACUUACGCUAAUACCGCAUACGACCUACGGGUGAAAGCAGGGGACCUUCGGGCCUUGCGCGAUUGAAUGAGCCGAUGUCGGACUAGCUAGUUGGCGGGGUAAAGGCCCACCAAGGCGACGAUCCGUAGCUGGUCUGAGAGGGUGAUCAGCCACACUGGAACUGAGACACGGUCCAGACUCCUACGGGAGGCAGCAGUGGGGAAUCUUGGACAAUGGGGGAAACCCUGAUCCAGCGAUGCCGCGUGUGUGAAGAAGGCCUUCGGGUUGUAAAGCACUUUAGUUGGGGAAGAAAAGUAAUAAGUGAAUAAUUUAUUGCUCUGACGGUACCCAAAGAAUAAGCACCGGCUAACUCUGUGCCAGCAGCCGCCGUAA